GCAUGGUAAGGAUUUAUGGCAGGCCAUUCUCCUUGAGUCUUUUACAGUAUACCCAGGCCAAAGUAAGCUGUAGCCUCAAACCAUUGCCCAGCCCUCUUACCUGUAGGCUGUAAGUUCUGAGGGUUUGCACAAUG
Small nucleolar RNA from Tupaia belangeri (northern tree shrew), 134 nucleotides. NCBI's taxonomy places the organism in Eukaryota, Metazoa, Chordata, Mammalia, Scandentia, Tupaiidae. The record is from Ensembl.